UAGAGUAUCUGUACUAAAUAUGCCUGAUCUUGCUUGAUUUCAGGAGCCAAACCAGACUUGGUUAGUACUUCAGUGGGAGACCACGUGGGGAUCUUAGGUGGCUUGGG
RNAcentral lists this ribosomal RNA (107 nucleotides) under Crocodylus porosus (Australian saltwater crocodile). The record is from RNAcentral. Lineage: Eukaryota; Metazoa; Chordata; Crocodylia; Crocodylidae.